UCCAACCCUGCUCACCUCUCAGCUGGACAGUGAGGGACGUUUACACCACACACUGACAACAUGCUGGGGACCCUCUGCACUCUCAUCACUGCUCUGACAUAUGUUGAUGCAGUGAUAGUGGUGACCCAGACGCCUGCUGUCCACACAGUUUCUACAGGACAAGAAGUUGUUCUCAACUGCAACAUUCAGAGAUAUGAUAGCGCUUAUGUCAAGUGGUACAAACAGGUUCCUGGUGAAGCUCCUCAGUAUGUUCUUGCAUUUUACUAUGGGAGCAGUUCACUCUACUUUGGAACAGGAUUCUCCUCAGAUCGCUUGAACUCUAAAGCCUCUUCAAACAUAGAUUACCAGUUCAUCAUUAAGCGGGCAGAGGCAGGAGACUCUGCUGUCUAUUACUGUCACACAUGGGACGACUCUGCUAAAGAAGAAGCAUCACAGUGAUUUACACUGUGACAAAAACCUCCUCACUAAACACUUCUGCUUUUUGACCUGCUGACACAUUUUGACUGAGAUUGAAUCCAUCAGGAGAUGUUUUCAGAGACUUGUGAUUAUUUUUCUAAAUAAUAAGAUGUGAUAUUUUAAAUCAUUUUAUUGGAUUCUCACAUCAAUCCACUUAUUUGUCCUAGUGCUAAAAUAAUUAUACACACUAUGUUAUCUGCAGAUGCUUCACCAAAAUAACUACAUAAAUAGAUGAACACACAAAAUGAUUCCUAGAAAAUAUAAACCACUAGAAAACAAAGUUUGUGCUAAAUGUAGUAAAAAUCGAUGUUUUCAGUAAAUAUCCCUUGGCACUCAUGAUAACAGUCAGUUUAUAUAUAGUUUGCUACAAUGUCCUAUUUUGAGAUACAAAGUCAGAUAAUAAAUAAAUCUUUAUUGAUAUAGUUAAAUUGUUGCACAUGUAAUGUGGAAUAUCUGUAAAAUAAUCGACUGAA
Non-coding RNA from Toxotes jaculatrix (banded archerfish), 929 nucleotides. The record is from the annotation of a RefSeq genome assembly. Lineage: Eukaryota; Metazoa; Chordata; Actinopteri; Toxotidae.